UACGGAGGGGGCUAGCGUUGUUCGGAAUUACUGGGCGUAAAGCGCGCGUAGGCGGCUUUGUAAGUUAGAGGUGAAAGCCCGGGGCUCAACUCCGGAAUUGCCUUUAAGACUGCAUCGCUAGAAUUGUGGAGAGGUAAGUGGAAUUCCGAGUGUAGAGGUGAAAUUCGUAGAUAUUCGGAAGAACACCAGUGGCGAAGGCGACUUACUGGACACAUAUUGACGCUGAGGUGCGAAAGCGUGGGGAGCAAACAGG
RNAcentral lists this ribosomal RNA (253 nucleotides) under uncultured bacterium. Its description in RNAcentral is "partial 16S ribosomal RNA". It matches the Rfam family "Bacterial small subunit ribosomal RNA", at positions 524 to 776 of the family's 1533-position model. The record is from RNAcentral.